AUGCAGCCCAGAAGGGCGUGGGAGUAGCACCUGAGAAUAACGGUCUCCUUGUGCGGAUCUGGGGAGCCCCCUGCAGGGUGGCAACCAGAGGAAAGGGCCACAAUGUUCCACGGCCAAGGAGGAAAGAAGGAAUGCCCCCUUUCCCAUCUCUAGGUGAAGCUGGACUCACCCACCUGGGCUGCCAUAGGAAAACGGAGGAGCUGGCAGUGCCCUGGCGCAGGCAUCUAAUAGCUGCUGUUUUUCAAAUGAAUGACUUGUCAGUUGGAAGCUGCUGAAGGGCAGUGGACACUCAAAAGUCUUUGUAAGAG
Molecule: long non-coding RNA, 308 nt
Organism: Pan troglodytes (chimpanzee)
Lineage: Eukaryota; Metazoa; Chordata; Mammalia; Primates; Hominidae
Exons: 4
Source: RefSeq, a predicted model, not a curated record